GACUACAUGAAGCCGGAAUCGCUAGUAAUCGCGGAUCAGAAUGCCGCGGUGAAUACGUUCCCGGGUCUUGUACACACCGCCCGUCACACCAUGGGAGUCGGAAAUGCCCGAAGUCUGUGACCCAACCGCAAGGAGGGAGCAGCCGAAGGCAGGUCGGAUGACUGGGGUGAAGUCGUAACAAGGUAAC
Molecule: ribosomal RNA, 187 nt
Filed under: uncultured bacterium
Lineage: Bacteria
Description: partial 16S ribosomal RNA
Rfam family: Bacterial small subunit ribosomal RNA
Source: RNAcentral